Molecule: ribosomal RNA, 463 nt
Filed under: uncultured bacterium
Lineage: Bacteria
Description: partial 16S ribosomal RNA
Rfam family: Bacterial small subunit ribosomal RNA
Source: RNAcentral
GACGAACGCUGGCGGCGUGCUUAACACAUGCAAGUCGAACGGUGAACCUCUUCGGAGGGGAUCAGUGGCGAACGGGUGAGUAACACGUGGGCAACCUGCCCCCGGCUCUGGGAUAACUCCAAGAAAUUGGGGCUAAUACCGGAUGUUCACCGCUUCCCGCAUGGGUGGGGGUGGAAAGGGUUUCCGGCUGGGGAUGGGCCCGCGGCCUAUCAGCUUGUUGGUGGGGUAGUGGCCUACCAAGGCGACGACGGGUAGCCGGCCUGAGAGGGUGACCGGCCACACUGGGACUGAGACACGGCCCAGACUCCUACGGGAGGCAGCAGUGGGGAAUAUUGCGCAAUGGGCGGAAGCCUGACGCAGCGACGCCGCGUGGGGGAUGACGGCCUUCGGGUUGUAAACCUCUUUCAGCAGGGACGAAGCGCAAGUGACGGUACCUGCAGAAGAAGCACCGGCCAACUACGUG